RNAcentral lists this ribosomal RNA (873 nucleotides) under uncultured bacterium. Its description in RNAcentral is "bacterial SSU rRNA". It matches the Rfam family "Bacterial small subunit ribosomal RNA", at positions 56 to 934 of the family's 1533-position model. The record is from RNAcentral.
UGCAAGUCGAGUGCGCGUUCCGUAGCAAUGCGGGAUGGCGCACGGCGCACGGGUGCGUAACACGUGGGUAAUCUGCCCUCCGAUGGGGAAUAACCCCGCGAAAGCGGGGCUAAUUCCGCAUAACAUUCCGGGAACUCCGGUUUCUGGAUUCAAAGGCGCAAGUCGUCGGAGGUGGAGCCCGCGCACGAUUAGCUAGUUGGUUGGGUAACGGCCUACCAAGGCUAUGAUCGUUAGCUGGUCUGAGAGGAUGGCCAGCCACACUGGAACUGAGACACGGUCCAGACUCCUACGGGAGGCAGCAGUGGGGAAUCUUGCACAAUGGGCGAAAGCCUGAUGCAGCGACGCCGCGUGGGGGAUGAAGCUUCUCGGAGUGUAAACCCCUUUCGACCGGGACGAAGGCCCGCAAGGGAGUGACGGUACCGGUAUAAGAAGCCCCGGCUAACUACGUGCCAGCAGCCGCGGUAAGACGUAGGGGGCCAGCGUUGCUCGGAAUUACUGGGUGUAAAGGGUUCGUAGGCGGUGUGGCAAGUCGGGAGUGAAAUUUCUGGGCUUAACUCAGAGACUGCUUCCGAAACUGCUGUGCUGGAGUGUGGGAGAGGCGCGUGGAAUUGCAGGUGUAGCGGUGAAAUGCGUAGAUAUCUGCAGGAACACCCGUGGCGAAAGCGGCGCGCUGGACCACUACUGACGCUGAGGAACGAAAGCUAGGGGAGCAAACAGGAUUAGAUACCCUGUAGUCCUAGCCCUAAACGAUCAGGACUUGGGGUGCCACCCGUUCGGGUGUCGUCCCGGAGCUAACGCGUUAAGUCCUGCACCUGGGGAGUACGGUCGCAAGACUGAAACUCAAGGAAUUGACGGGGGCCCGCACAAGCGGUG